CCUACGGGUGGCAGCAGUGAGGAAUAUUGGUCAAUGGGCGCAAGCCUGAACCAGCCAAGUAGCGUGAAGGAUGACUGCCCUACGGGUUGUAAACUUCUUUUAUAAAGGAAUAGAGUGAGACACUUGUGCCUUUUUGUGUGUCCUUUAUGAAUAAGGAUCGGCUAACUCCGUGCCAGCAGCCGCGGUAAUACGGAGGAUCCGAGCGUUAUCCGGAUUUAUUGGGUUGAAAGGGAGCGUAGAUGGGUUGUUAAGUCAGUUGUGAAAGUUUGCGGCUCAACCGUAAAAUUGCAAUUGAUACUGGAAGUCUUGAGUACAGGUGAGGUAGGCGGAAUUCGGGGUGUAGCGGUGAAAUGCUUAGAUAUCACGAAGAACUCCGAUUGCGAAGGCAGAUUACUAAACUGCCACUGACAUUGAUGCUCGAAAGUGUGGGUAUCAAACAGGAUUAGAUACCCCGGUAGUC
This 460-nucleotide ribosomal RNA is filed under the name uncultured bacterium. RNAcentral's name for it is "partial 16S ribosomal RNA". It matches the Rfam family "Bacterial small subunit ribosomal RNA", at positions 338 to 795 of the family's 1533-position model. The record is from RNAcentral.